GUCAGGUGUGAUGGCGCAUGCCUGUAACCCCAGCAACUUGGGAGGCUGAGGCAGGAGGAUCUUGAGUUCAAAGGCAGCCUUUAGCAGAUUAGCAAGGUACUUAGAAACUCAGUAAGACCCUGUCUCUA
RNAcentral lists this small RNA (128 nucleotides) under Marmota monax (woodchuck). Lineage: Eukaryota; Metazoa; Chordata; Mammalia; Rodentia; Sciuridae. The record is from RNAcentral.